RNAcentral lists this ribosomal RNA (253 nucleotides) under uncultured bacterium. RNAcentral's name for it is "partial 16S ribosomal RNA". It matches the Rfam family "Bacterial small subunit ribosomal RNA", at positions 524 to 776 of the family's 1533-position model. The record is from RNAcentral.
UACGAAGGAGGCAAGCGUUAUCCGGAAUUAUUGGGCGUAAAGAGUACGUAGGCGGCUUGUCAAGUCCCGGGUUAAAUCCCGCAGCUUAACUGCGGAUCGGCCUUGGAAACUGGCUUGCUGGAGUGUGGUAGGGGUAGCGGGAAUUCCUGGUGUAGCGGUGAAAUGCGUAGAGAUCAGGAAGAACACCUGUGGCGAAAGCGCGCUACUGGACCAUGACUGACGCUGAGGUACGAUAGCUAGGGGAGCAAAAGGG